GAAAUGCGAUAAGUAGUGUGAAUUGCAGAAUUCAGUGAAUCAUCGAAUCUUUUAACGCACAUUGCGCCCUUUGGUAUUCCUUAGGGCAUGCCUGUUCGAGCGUCAUCUAAACCUUCAAGCCCUGCUUGGUGUUGGGUGCCUGUCCCGCCUCCGCGCGCGGACUCACCUCAAAUCCAUUGGCGGCCCCCGCGUCGGCCACGAGCGCAGCAGAAACGCGAACUCGUGAGCCCGUCCGGGCGGCUCCCAGAAGCUACACCCACCCAGUUUGACCUCGGAUCAGGUAGGGAUACCCGCUGAACUUAAGC
This 305-nucleotide unclassified non-coding RNA is filed under the name plant metagenome. RNAcentral describes it as "partial contains 5.8S ribosomal RNA, internal transcribed spacer 2, and large subunit ribosomal RNA". The stretch from base 1 to 105 matches the Rfam family "5.8S ribosomal RNA", at positions 50 to 154 of the family's 154-position model. The record is from RNAcentral.